Molecule: ribosomal RNA, 320 nt
Filed under: uncultured bacterium
Lineage: Bacteria
Description: bacterial SSU rRNA
Rfam family: Bacterial small subunit ribosomal RNA
Source: RNAcentral
ACGUAUUAACAGAAGUCACGGCUAGCUACGUGCCAGCAGCCGCGGUAAUACGUAGGUGGCAAGCGUUAAUCCGGAUUUAUUGGGCGUAAAGAGAGUGCAGGCGGUUUUCUAAGUCUGAUGUGAAAGCCUUCGGCUUAACCGGAGAAGUGCAUCGGAAACUGGAUAACUUGAGUGCAGAAGAGGGUAGUGGAACUCCAUGUGUAGCGGUGGAAUGCGUAGAUAUAUGGAAGAACACCAGUGGCGAAGGCGGCUACCUGGUCUGCAACUGACGCUGAGACUCGAAAGCAUGGGUACGCGAACAGGAUUAGAUACCCUGGUAG